This 71-nucleotide transfer RNA is filed under the name Camelus dromedarius (Arabian camel). It matches the Rfam family "tRNA". Rfam says of the family: Transfer RNA (tRNA) molecules are approximately 80 nucleotides in length. Their secondary structure includes four short double-helical elements and three loops (D, anti-codon, and T loops). The record is from Rfam by way of RNAcentral. RNAcentral also lists the same sequence under 2 other names. Lineage: Eukaryota; Metazoa; Chordata; Mammalia; Artiodactyla; Camelidae.
GGAUAUAGCUCAAGUGUUAGAGUGCAUGCUUAGCAUGCAUGAGGUCCUGGGUUCAAUCCCCAGUACCUCCA